GUAGGGCGGGACACGUGGUAUCCUGUCUGAAUAUGGGGGGACCAUCCUCCAAGGCUAAAUACUCCUGACUGACCGAUAGUGAACCAGUACCGUGAGGGAAAGGCGAAAAGAACCCCGGCGAGGGGAGUGAAAAAGAACCUGAAACCGUGUACGUACAAGCAGUGGGAGCCUCUUUAUGGGGUGACUGCGUACCUUUUGUAUAAUGGGUCAGCGACUUAUAUUCUGUAGCAAGGUUAACCGAAUAGGGGAGCCGAAGGGAAACCGAGUCUUAACUGGGCGUUAAGUUGCAGGGUAUAGACCCGAAACCCGGUGAUCUAGCCAUGGGCAGGUUGAAGGUUGGGUAACACUAACUGGAGGACCGAACCGACUAAUGUUGAAAAAUUAGCGGAUGACUUGUGGCUGGGGGUGAAAGGCCAAUCAAACCGGGAGAUAGCUGGUUCUCCCCGAAAGCUAUUUAGGUAGCGCCUCGUGAAUUCAUCUCCGGGGGUAGAGCACUGUUUCGGCAAGGGGGUCAUCCCGACUUACCAACCCGAUGCAAACUGCGAAUACCGGAGAAUGUUAUCACGGGAGACACACGGCGGGUGCUAACGUCCGUCGUGAAGAGGGAAACAACCCAGACCGCCAGCUAAGGUCCCAAAGUCAUGGUUAAGUGGGAAACGAUGUGGGAAGGCCCAGACAGCCAGGAUGUUGGCUUAGAAGCAGCCAUCAUUUAAAGAAAGCGUAAUAGCUCACUGGUCGAGUCGGCCUGCGCGGAAGAUGUAACGGGGCUAAACCAUGCACCGAAGCUGCGGCAGCGACACUAUGUGUUGUUGGGUAGGGGAGCGUUCUGUAAGCCUGUGAAGGUGGCCUGUGAGGGUUGCUGGAGGUAUCAGAAGUGCGAAUGCUGACAUAAGUAACGAUAAAGCGGGUGAAAAGCCCGCUCGCCGGAAGACCAAGGGUUCCUGUCCAACGUUAAUCGGGGCAGGGUGAGUCGACCCCUAAGGCGAGGCCGAAAGGCGUAGUCGAUGGGAAACAGGUUAAUAUUCCUGUACUUGGUGUUACUGCGAAGGGGGGACGGAGAAGGCUAUGUUGGCCGGGCGACGGUUGUCCCGGUUUAAGCGUGUAGGCUGGUUUUCCAGGCAAAUCCGGAAAACCAAGGCUGAGGCGUGAUGACGAGGCACUACGGUGCUGAAGCGACAAAUGCCCUGCUUCCAGGAAAAGCCUCUAAGCAUCAGGUAACAUCAAAUCGUACCCCAAACCGACACAGGUGGUCAGGUAGAGAAUACCAAGGCGCUUGAGAGAACUCGGGUGAAGGAACUAGGCAAAAUGGUGCCGUAACUUCGGGAGAAGGCACGCUGAUAUGUAGGUGAAGCGACUUGCUCGUGGAGCUGAAAUCAGUCGAAGAUACCAGCUGGCUGCAACUGUUUAUUAAAAACACAGCACUGUGCAAACACGAAAGUGGACGUAUACGGUGUGACGCCUGCCCGGUGCCGGAAGGUUAAUUGAUGGGGUUAGCGGUAACGCGAAGCUCUUGAUCGAAGCCCCGGUAAACGGCGGCCGUAACUAUAACGGUCCUAAGGUAGCGAAAUUCCUUGUCGGGUAAGUUCCGACCUGCACGAAUGGCGUAAUGAUGGCCAGGCUGUCUCCACCCGAGACUCAGUGAAAUUGAACUCGCUGUGAAGAUGCAGUGUACCCGCGGCAAGACGGAAAGACCCCGUGAACCUUUACUAUAGCUUGACACUGAACAUUGAGCCUUGAUGUGUAGGAUAGGUGGGAGGCUUUGAAGUGUGGACGCCAGUCUGCAUGGAGCCGACCUUGAAAUACCACCCUUUAAUGUUUGAUGUUCUAACGUUGGCCCGUAAUCCGGGUUGCGGACAGUGUCUGGUGGGUAGUUUGACUGGGGCGGUCUCCUCCUAAAGAGUAACGGAGGAGCACGAAGGUUGGCUAAUCCUGGUCGGACAUCAGGAGGUUAGUGCAAUGGCAUAAGCCAGCUUGACUGCGAGCGUGACGGCGCGAGCAGGUGCGAAAGCAGGUCAUAGUGAUCCGGUGGUUCUGAAUGGAAGGGCCAUCGCUCAACGGAUAAAAGGUACUCCGGGGAUAACAGGCUGAUACCGCCCAAGAGUUCAUAUCGACGGCGGUGUUUGGCACCUCGAUGUCGGCUCAUCACAUCCUGGGGCUGAAGUAGGUCCCAAGGGUAUGGCUGUUCGCCAUUUAAAGUGGUACGCGAGCUGGGUUUAGAACGUCGUGAGACAGUUCGGUCCCUAUCUGCCGUGGGCGCUGGAGAACUGAGGGGGGCUGCUCCUAGUACGAGAGGACCGGAGUGGACGCAUCACUGGUGUUCGGGUUGUCAUGCCAAUGGCACUGCCCGGUAGCUAAAUGCGGAAGAGAUAAGUGCUGAAAGCAUCUAAGCACGAAACUUGCCCCGAGAUGAGUUCUCCCUGACUCCUUGAGAGUCCUGAAGGAACGUUGA
Molecule: ribosomal RNA, 2449 nt
Filed under: Escherichia coli
Lineage: Bacteria; Pseudomonadati; Pseudomonadota; Gammaproteobacteria; Enterobacterales; Enterobacteriaceae
Description: partial 23S ribosomal RNA
Rfam family: Bacterial large subunit ribosomal RNA
Source: RNAcentral